GCCGGGCGUGGUGGCGCGCGCCUGUAGUCCCAGCUACUCGGGAGGCUGAGGUGGGAGGAUCGCUUGAGUCCAGGAGUUCUGGGCUGCAGUGCGCUAUGCCGAUCGGGUGUCCGCACUAAGUUCGGCAUCAAUAUGGUGACCUCCCGGGAGCGGGGGACCACCAGGUUGCCUAAGGAGGGGUGAACCGGCCCAGGUCGGAAACGGAGCAGGUCAAAAUAUACUUUGGUAGUAGGACUAAUAGAACUUAAUAGCGCAUUAGCUAUGAGAUGGGGCUGAGGGAAAGAGACCAAUUGA
Unclassified non-coding RNA from Fukomys damarensis (Damara mole-rat), 294 nucleotides. It matches the Rfam family "Metazoan signal recognition particle RNA". From Rfam's summary of the family: The signal recognition particle (SRP) is a universally conserved ribonucleoprotein. It is involved in the co-translational targeting of proteins to membranes. Lineage: Eukaryota; Metazoa; Chordata; Mammalia; Rodentia; Bathyergidae. The record is from Ensembl.